Long non-coding RNA from Chelonia mydas (Green sea turtle), 693 nucleotides. RefSeq lists it as uncharacterized. The transcript is spliced from 3 exons. NCBI's taxonomy places the organism in Eukaryota, Metazoa, Chordata, Testudines, Cheloniidae. The record is from RefSeq and is a predicted model, not a curated record.
GGUUGUUUCUAAUCCCAUGAACCAUCUACCAUCCAUGCGUUGAGAUGAAGAAGUCCAAAAUUGGGGUGAAAGAUCUUCCUGCCUUCCUGGGAAAGGAGAUCAGAAGUGGCCUGGAGAGAGUGUGUUGUAGGUCCAAGUUGAUUAAGAGGUCUACGGCGACACAAGUUGCGCAUGAGUUGACAUCCAAGGAGUGACCUUUCAGAAGCCAAUCACCUAGAUGCAACCUUGAGAUCUCAGCAGUCCAUGUUAACAUUGGCCGAGAGACUGCAAAGACUCAGGAAGAGGCCACGAAAAAGCAAAGAAGACAUGCCGCAAGAAGUGAUGCAGCAAUCUCCUAGAGAGAAUCAAAAAGUGCAGGAGUGAAGGGAGAGCAAAAGCAGGAUCCGCCAGGAAAACGCAGUGCACCGAUGGCAAAGCACGGAGCUCCGGCAGCAAAGCACGGAUCGGCUGAUAAGCAUCAUGGAGCGCCAAGCAGACUCUAUCCAGGCGCUCGGAGCCAUGCAGGCAGAGCGCUACAGAGCCCGCACACCCGCCACCCCCGCAGCCGUUGUCCCAAAACGCUUUCCCUUGUGUCCCCAUGUCACCUCCAACCCACUUUCCCCAACAUCCGGGUUCUUAUCGCCACCAGCUGCCUCCAACACCUGUAGCUUCACCACUCAGCCCUGAAAACUACGACCCUUACCCACUGCACUC